CCUACGGGAGGCAGCAGUGGGGAAUAUUGCGCAAUGGGCGAAAGCCUGACGCAGCGACGCCGCGUGAGGGAUGAAGGUCUUCGGAUCGUAAACCUCUGUCAGCAGGGAAGAACGGUCACUGUGCUAAUCAGCAGUGAAUUGACGGUACCUGCAAAGGAAGCCCCGGCUAACUCCGUGCCAGCAGCCGAGGUAAUACGGAGGGUGCGAGCGGUAAUCGGAAUUACUGGGCGUAAAGCGCUCGUAGGCGGUAUGUCAAGUCAAGGGUGAAAUCCCCGCGCUCAACGUGGGAACUGCCUUUGAAACUGGCAAACUUGAGUGUGUGAGAGGAUAGUGGAAGUCGAGGUGUAGGAGUGAAAUCCGUAGAUAUCUGGAGGAACAUCAGUGGCGAAGGCGACUAUCUGGCACAUAACUGACGCUGAGGAGCGAAAGCGUGGGUAGCAAACAGGAUUAGAUACCCGGGUAGUC
RNAcentral lists this ribosomal RNA (465 nucleotides) under uncultured bacterium. RNAcentral describes it as "partial 16S ribosomal RNA". It matches the Rfam family "Bacterial small subunit ribosomal RNA", at positions 338 to 795 of the family's 1533-position model. The record is from RNAcentral.